Molecule: ribosomal RNA, 2524 nt
Filed under: biogas fermenter metagenome
Description: bacterial LSU rRNA
Rfam family: Bacterial large subunit ribosomal RNA
Source: RNAcentral
AGGGCACACGGCGGAUGCCUAGGCGUAAGGGGGCGAGGAAGGACGCGGCAAGCGGCGAAACGCUCCGGGGAGCUGCAAGCGAGCAACGAUCCGGAGGUCUCCGAAUGGGGGAACCCACUUGAGGCGAACCUCAAGUAUCUCAUACUGAAUCCAUAGGUAUGAGAGGCGAACCGGGUGAACUGAAACAUCUAAGUAACCCGAGGAAGAGAAAGAAAGAUCGAUUCCCUAAGUAGCGGCGAGCGAACGGGGAAGAGCCCAAACCAUAUAUGUGUAAGGCCGCAACCGUUGCAUAUAUGGGGUUAAGGAGUGUCGAGCCGAAUUGCGGAUAGGCGAGCGAAGGCGAGGGGUAGCAGAACACUGCUGGAAAGCGGGGCCACAGAAAGUGACAGCCUUGUAUGCGAAACCCUAGAGUCUAGCUGACACAUCCAGAGUACUGCGGGGCACGUGAAACCCCGUAGGAAGUAGGGAGGCCCAUCUCCCAAGGCUAAAUACCACCUUACGACCGAUAGCGAACUAGUACCGUGAGGGAAAGGUGAAAAGCACCCCGGGAGGGGAGUGAAAGAGAACCUGAAACCGUGUGUCUACAAGCGGAGGGAGCUAAAGCGACCUCGUACUUUUUGUAGAACGGACCGGCGAGUUACCGUAUCAAGCGAGGUUAAGGAGUCAAGCUCCGGAGCCGAAGCGAAAGCGAGUCUUAACAGGGCGAAUAGUUUGAUGCGGUAGACCCGAAACCGUGUGAUCUACCCAUGGCCAGGGUGAAGCGGAGCUAACCCUUCGUGGAGGCCCGAACCGAAUUGACGUUGAAAAGUCAUGGGAUGAGCUGUGGGUAGGGGUGAAAUGCCAAUCGAACACGGAGAUAGCUGGUUCUCCCCGAAAUAGCUUUAGGGCUAGCCUUAACGUAAAAUCCUCGGGGGUAGAGCACUGAAUGGGCUAGGGGCCGAAAAGGUUACCGAACCCUAUCAAACUCCGAAUACCGAGGACAAGUAGUUAGGAGUCAGACUAUGGGGGAUAAGCUCCAUAGUCGAGAGGGAAACAGCCCAGACCGUCAGCUAAGGUCCCCAAGAUGAACCUAAGUGGGAAAGGAUGUUGUAUUACGAAGACAACCAGGAUGUUGGCUUAGAAGCAGCCAUUCAUUUAAAGAGUGCGUAAUAGCUCACUGGUCAAGUGAUACUGCGCCGAAAAUGUAACGGGGCUCAAGGUUCACACCGAAGCUGCGGCUUUGUAGCGGAGCUACAAGGGGUAGGGGAGCGUUCCUAUAGGGCAGAAGCAAUGCUGCAAGGCAUUGUGGACCGAUAGGAAGUGAGAAUGCCGGUAUGAGUAGCGAGAGGCAGGUGAGAAUCCUGUCCGCCGAAAGCCUAAGGUUUCCUGAGGAAGGCUCGUCCGCUCAGGGUAAGCCGGGGCCUAAGCCGAGGCAGAGCAUGCGUAGGCGAUGGACAACUGGUUGAAAUUCCAGUGCCACCUAAGGCCGUCAGAGCGAGGGGGUGACGCAGGAGGGUAAGCUGAGCGCGCGGUUGGUAGAGCGCGUCCAAGCACAAAGGCAAGCCUGGUAGGCAAAUCCGCCAGGUCAUGGCUGAAGUGUGAAGGGGAGUGAAACUACAAGUAACGAAGCAGCUGACCCCAUACUGCCGAGAAAAGCCUCUAGCGAGGCCAAGGGUGCCCGUACUGCAAACCGACACAGGUAGGCGAGGAGAGAAUCCUAAGGCGAGCGGGAGAACUCUCGUUAAGGAACUCGGCAAACUAACCCCGUAACUUUGGGAGAAGGGGUACCUGAGUAACUGCAUGAAAACAUGUGGUGAAAAGGUCGCAGUGAAUAGGCCCAAGCGACUGUUUAUCAAAAACACAGGUCUCUGCUAAGGAGAAAUCCGACGUAUAGGGGCUGACGCCUGCCCGGUGCUGGAAGGUUAAGGGGACUGCUUAGCGAAAGCGAAGGCAAGAACCGAAGCCCCAGUGAACGGCGGCCGUAACUAUAACGGUCCUAAGGUAGCGAAAUUCCUUGUCGGGUAAGUUCCGACCCGCACGAAAGGCGUAACGACUUGGGCGCUGUCUUAACGAGAGACCCGGCGAAAUUGUAAUAUGAGUGAAGAUACUCAUUACCUGCGACAGGACGGAAAGACCCCGUGGAGCUUUACUGCAGCCUGAUAUUGGAUUUCGGUAUCAGAUGUACAGGAUAGGUGGGAGGCAGAGAACCAGGUUCGUCAGGAUCUGGGGAGCCGGCCUUGGGAUACCACUCUUCUGGUGCUGAGGUUCUAACCGCAAGCCGUAAUCCGGGUGCGGGACAUUGUCAGGUGGGCAGUUUGACUGGGGCGGUCGCCUCCCAAAGAGUAACGGAGGCGCCCAAAGGUUACCUCAGCACGGUUGGGAAUCGUGCAUUGAGUGCAAAGGCAUAAGGUAGCCUAACUGCGAGACCGACAAGUCGAGCAGUGUCGAAAGACGGGCUUAGUGAUCCGGCGGUACCGAAUGGAAGGGCCGUCGCUCAACGGAUAAAAGCUACCCCGGGGAUAACAGGCUGAUCUCCCCCAAGAGU